This 465-nucleotide ribosomal RNA is filed under the name uncultured bacterium. RNAcentral's name for it is "partial 16S ribosomal RNA". It matches the Rfam family "Bacterial small subunit ribosomal RNA", at positions 338 to 795 of the family's 1533-position model. The record is from RNAcentral.
CCUACGGGUGGCAGCAGUGGGGAAUAUUGCGCAAUGGGCGAAAGCCUGACGCAGCGACGCCGCGUGAGGGAUGAAGGUCUUCGGAUCGUAAACCUCUGUCAGCAUGGAAGAACGGUCACUGUGCUAAUCAGCAGUGAAUUGACGGUACCUGCAAAGGAAGCACCGGCUAACUCCGUGCCAGCAGCCGCGGUAAUACGGAGGGUGCGAGCGUUAAUCGGAAUUACUGGGCGUAAAGCGCUCGUAGGCGGUAUGUCAAGUCAAGGGUGAAAUCCCCGGGCUCAACGUGGGAACUGCCUUUGAAACUGGCAAACUGGAGUGUGGGAGAGGAUAGUGGAAUUCCAGGUGUAGGAGUGAAAUGCGUAGAUAUCUGGAGGAACAUCAGUGGCGAAGGCGACUAUCUGGCACAUAACUGACGCUGAGGAGCGAAAGCGUGGGUAGCAAACAGGAUUAGAUACCCUUGUAGUC